AUGAUUACAUGGGCUGAAAAAAGAACUUGAAAAUCAAAUAAGGUACUUAUGUAUUAUUCGGAUGAGGUUUGUUAUUUUAAAUAGUAACGUAUAAAUAAGUCUGAUGCAGGUGUGUGGACACUGUUAAUGAAAUAGAAAGGCAGUCCUGCACACUGUCACAGCCUGGAAAUCGUCACCAGACAUUGGAUAUUUUAAUAGCAUCAUACAAUAAACCAGUAUUUCAGGAUAAACUGAGAGAUCUGUGAUCAGUCAUGCACAUAAAGAUGUUUUUGUUUUAUCAGUUACUGACAUCUGUGUGUGUCGGUAGAGGGAUGGACUCUGGAAACAGUCUUGAACACAAAAAUGAAAAGGUACAAGUCAGAAGAUCACUUGCAGAGGUCUGACACACACUGAAUCUGUAGGAUGGCUCCUGCUGCUUUACUCAUCGGCUGUCUGCUUGCCACAAUCAGCUGCUUAACCACAGGUCAAACUACCACAUCAAUUAAUGCUGUUCCUGCAUCACCUAAUGCAACUGACAUGUCGGACAAUGCAACUAAUGUAUUGCCUGACGCAACUAGUGCAACUACCAUUUUGCCCAACGGGGGUAACACAUCACCUAGCACCACCAUGGCACCCAACUCAACCAACACGGUGCCCAGUGUAACCAACACGCCGCCCAACAUGCCGCCAAAUGCAACCAACAUGGCAACCAACACAGACACCAUGGCGCCAACGCAACAACGCAACAAUGCAACCAACACACCACCAAAUGCAACCAACACACCACCAAAUGCAACCAACACGCCGCCCAACGCAACCAACACACCACCAAAUGCAACCAACACACCACCAAAUGCAACCAACACGCCACCAAAUGCAACCAACACGCCGCCCAACGCAACCAACACGGCGCCAAAUGCAACUAGCGCAUUACCUAAUGCGACUACAACAAAUGCAACAACUCCUCAGGCUUCAUUGUAUGGAAGUUGUGCGAGUCCAGAUCUGUGCUGCUCUGGAGUGAAUAGCAGCUGUCGUCGCAAAAAUUGUUAUUGUGAUGUUGCUUGUCUGAGAUUACGUGACUGCUGCCCUGAUUUUAAACCCACCUGCCUCACAGUGAAAAACAGCACAAACAGCAGCAACACUUUGCCACUAACAGGAACAUGUUCGCAUCCGACUCUGUGCUGCAAUGGCACAGACUACAACUGUUUCAGAGGAUGUUUCUGUGAUGAGUCCUGCAAAAUGCUCAACGACUGCUGUCCCGACUACAACAGCACCUGCAGUUUCAAUAGCACAACUACAGCUCCACCCUUCAACUCCACUACAACUCCCCAUCAUAUCUCCACUGCAGCUCCACCCAAAGCACUCACUGUUCAGGAGGUGAAGGUGAAGAUGUUUUUGCCUGAAGAAGAGCAUCACGCUGCACUGCUUCAAGUUGGCACUGUGCUGGAGAAGUUGUUAAAAGAGAAUAAUACUGACAUCUACUCUUUCAAAGUUACGAAAAUUAAACGGGUAUCUCCAUAG
Molecule: long non-coding RNA, 1500 nt
Filed under: Carassius auratus (goldfish)
Lineage: Eukaryota; Metazoa; Chordata; Actinopteri; Cypriniformes; Cyprinidae
Description: lncRNA (ENSCARG00000014549.1)
Source: RNAcentral